This 253-nucleotide ribosomal RNA is filed under the name uncultured bacterium. RNAcentral describes it as "partial 16S ribosomal RNA". It matches the Rfam family "Bacterial small subunit ribosomal RNA", at positions 524 to 776 of the family's 1533-position model. The record is from RNAcentral.
UACGAAGGGUCCAAGCGUUGUUCGGAAUCAUUGGGCGUAAAGCGCGCGCAGGCGGAUUUGUAAGUCAGAUGUGAAAUCUCGAGGCUCAACCUCGAAACUGCGUCUGAAACUACAAGUCUAGAGUGUCGGAGGGGGUAGGGGAAUUUCACGUGUAGGGGUAAAAUCCGUAGAGAUGUGAAGGAACACCGGUGGCGAAGGCGCCUACCUGGACGACUACUGACGCUGAGGCGCGAAAGCGUGGGGAGCAAACAGG